AACGAACGCUGGCGACAUGCCUAACACAUGCAAGUCGAACGAGACCUUCGGGUCUAGUGGCGCACGGGUGCGUAACGCGUGGGAACCUGCCCUUAGGUUCGGAAUAACUCCCCGAAAGGGGUGCUAAUACCGGAUAAUGUCUUCGGACCAAAGAUUUAUCGCCUUUGGAUGGGCCCGCGUUGGAUUAGCUAGUUGGUAGGGUAAAAGCCUACCAAGGCGACGAUCCAUAGCUGGUCUGAGAGGAUGAUCAGCCACACUGGGACUGAGACACGGCCCAGACUCCUACGGGAGGGAGCAGUGGGGAAUAUUGGACAAUGGGCGAAAGCCUGAUCCAGCAAUGCCGCGUGAGUGAUGAAGGCCUUAGGGUUGUAAAGCUCUUUUACACGGGAUGAUAAUGACAGUACCGGGAGAAUAAGCUCCGGCUAACUCCGUG
This 433-nucleotide ribosomal RNA is filed under the name uncultured bacterium. RNAcentral's name for it is "partial 16S ribosomal RNA". It matches the Rfam family "Bacterial small subunit ribosomal RNA", at positions 29 to 507 of the family's 1533-position model. The record is from RNAcentral.